This 128-nucleotide ribosomal RNA is filed under the name Escherichia coli. RNAcentral's name for it is "partial 23S ribosomal RNA". It matches the Rfam family "Bacterial large subunit ribosomal RNA", at positions 1 to 118 of the family's 2925-position model. Lineage: Bacteria; Pseudomonadati; Pseudomonadota; Gammaproteobacteria; Enterobacterales; Enterobacteriaceae. The record is from RNAcentral.
GGGUUGUGAGGUUAAGCGACUAAGCGUACACGGUGGAUGCCCUGGCAGUCAGAGGCGAUGAAGGACGUGCUAAUCUGCGAUAAGCGUCGGUGAGGUGAUAUGAACCGUUAUAACCGGCGAUUUCCGAA